Microtus oregoni (creeping vole) is the source of this 2363-nucleotide long non-coding RNA. RefSeq lists it as uncharacterized. Lineage: Eukaryota; Metazoa; Chordata; Mammalia; Rodentia; Cricetidae. The transcript is spliced from 8 exons. The record is from RefSeq and is a predicted model, not a curated record.
CCCCGCGCUCCACCGGGCAGAGCGCGUGCGGCCGCCGAGCACAUGGACCCGCUGGUCGAGCGGGCUCGGCAAGGCCGGGAUGAAGAGGAGCUGCGAACCAGGAUCCGACCCAGUACCCCCAAAGCCCCUCGAGUGGAUAUCCACGCGGAAAGGAUGUUGGCAGUCCGGGUGACCUGGGAGUCAUGGCUGAAUCCACCCUCCCGAAGAGAUGACAGCAGGAUCUCUUGAAGAUGCAAACCAACCCCAUGUCCUGAGGAAAACAGCCCUAUGCCAUUUUAUAGUUCCCGCUGCUUGCCUGUCCUGCGGACCUGCCCCAGUGUACAGAGAUUCUAUGGUUUGCUUCCUUGUUCCCUCUAUUCUGCCAGGCAUGACCUUAGCAUGACUAUGGUAAGAAGAUGCCCUCCAGAAGACUGUGCUUGUGGACGACAUGGAGCCCCACUUGGGGAUUUUCUGAACCCUGUGGAUUUUACAGUGAAAUGCACUUGUGUGAUGCUGGUGGAUGUGGAUUCCGGAAGAACUCACCUGGCUUGCCUUGGGAUGCUACAAGUGGCCUAAUGGAUUCUUUCAGGCUGGAUGCCCACUGGAUGACAAGGACAGUAGCUGAGAAGACUGUAUCUUAACCCUUGACUCAAUGCGAAUAUUUGCUCUGAUCUCCCGGACAACCUGGAGCUCCCUCAAAAAUAGAGCCGAGUUCUGUCACCAUGGACGCUGGCAGUGGCAUGUUCAUGCCCGUGGCAAGCAGUCAGUCCUGAGGUGGAAGAAUUACCUGUGAGAUCCGGCUUGUAAACAGCACAGCAUACCUGUUCAGCAUUCCAGAAGGAUUUGAGGAUCAUCCUGUUCUAAAAUAAAGCCGGAGUAUUUGGGGGAUUUGGAAAAUUGAGAUGAGAAGCUUCUACUUAGAAACACCAAGUAACUCAGCUGAUAAACAGCAAACGACAGAAGUCUUCAGGCUGGAGGGAAUUCUGUGAGACACUUGAGCCCUCCAGCGCUGGUAGGAGAUUGAUGGACUUACACAGAAGAUAGAUCCAGCCGUGCCGUUGGCCCUAUGAGAAGGAGACACUCUUUCCAGAAGACAUAGAACAUUCCUGAACCUGGAAAGAUGCCUGGAAACUGGGAGAAGACAGAAAAGAGCACUUGCCCCUCCUACCUGGGCAUCUCCCACCAUACUCAAUACUUUUCACCGGGUCACUGCUGAGCUGUCCUCGUUUAGUCUUGGUUUGAUGGAAUAUUAGUCUGAAAUUUUUACUUUCAAUUAAACUUACUUGUUGAACCACCUCUAUCUUCAAAGGAUUCUAUUAGGAUGGCUAAUUAUAGCUAUUGCUACAAGGCAUUAUUUGCACUCAAUUUCAGCUCUUAGGCAAUUUGGUUUAAGUGUUUUAUAUUUUCACUCUUCGGAGUUAUGUGUAACCAUCAUCCUCCUACACCACAGGCUUCAAAUGAGCUAUUUUUGGAAACCCAGAUCAAAACAGCAAUUUUGAUGGUGACCAUAUCUGGUCUAACUUUAAGUGCUAGUCAAAACAGUCAAAGACACAAUGCUAUACAGAGCAAGAAAGACACCCCCUGUUUAUGAGGUCAAGUGUUUGGAAAGUUCAAGCUGUCCUUUAUAUUACGGUAUUGGUCUGAGUACUAUCUAAAGCCAAAGGCAAUGUAAAUUCCUCCUAAAUUGCAGAGAUUUCUUCUUCUGCUAACUGUUGGCCAUAAUUAAUGUGUUUCAAGAUGGCAGCCAUGGAAGAGUUUAGCAGGGACCCUGCAUUUCCCGUGAAGUGGAAAUUAUUUUCUAUUUAUGGUUAUUUAUGUGUACGUGAGUGUGUGUAUGUUGUAUGUAGGUGGUUAUAAGUAUUUGUAUGUUAUAGCACAGCUUUCUGGAGUUGGUUUGUUUCUUCCUCUGUGAGUUCUCUAAUGCAGCUCAGGCCAUUAGGUGUUCACGGCAAGCACUGACCCUGUAAGCCAUCUUUGGGCCGAAAGCACUCUCUUUGUGUUCAUAACGCUGCCCUCAUUUCUUCUUGUGCCCGCAGACAUGUAGCCUAAUUCUUGUUUGCUAACCUGCUCUCCCUCCCCAAAAGUUCAGUUCUCAGCUUGUGAACCAGGACCAUGCUCUCUCCUGUCACAUGCCUGCCUCAUAAUAAGUACUUGCAUGAUGAACUGACGGAUGGGUGAAUGAAUCCUAAAAGUACAACUUUUAUUUUGUUUUUGAGAAAGUCAAUAUUUUAUUAUGUAAACAUUAAAUGAUUACAUUCAUCUUUAAAAACAAACAAGCAGAAAACAACCCCCUAGAACUUUUCCAAGAAGGCUGAGAAUCUUCUAAUGUGUCUUUGCUAUUCUUUACUUCUUUACUUAUCUCUGCAGAGGGAAUAAUUUGUCAU